GAUGAACGCUGGCGGCGUGCCUAAUACAUGCAAGUCGAGCGAACGGACGAGAAGCUUGCUUCUCUGAUGUUAGCGGCGGACGGGUGAGUAACACGUGGAUAACCUACCUAUAAGACUGGGAUAACUUCGGGAAACCGGAGCUAAUACCGGAUAAUAUUUUGAACCGCAUGGUUCAAAAGUGAAAGACGGUCUUGCUGUCACUUAUAGAUGGAUCCGCGCUGCAUUAGCUAGUUGGUAAGGUAACGGCUUACCAAGGCAACGAUGCAUAGCCGACCUGAGAGGGUGAUCGGCCACACUGGAACUGAGACACGGUCUAGACUCCUACGGGAGGCAGCAGUAGGGAAUCUUCCGCAAUGGGCGAAAGCCUGACGGAGCAACGCCGCGUGAGUGAUGAAGUUCUUCGGAUCGUAAAACUCUGUUAUUAGGGAAGAGCAUAUGUGUAAGUAACUGUGCACAUCUUGACGGUACCUAAUCAGAAAGCCACGGCUAACUACGUG
RNAcentral lists this ribosomal RNA (497 nucleotides) under uncultured bacterium. RNAcentral's name for it is "partial 16S ribosomal RNA". It matches the Rfam family "Bacterial small subunit ribosomal RNA", at positions 28 to 507 of the family's 1533-position model. The record is from RNAcentral.